UACGGGAAGGCAGCAGUGGGGAAUAUUGCACAAUGGGCGAAAGCCUGAUGCAGCUAUGCCGCGUGUAUGAAGAAGGCCUUAGGGUUGUAAAGUACUUUCAUCGGGGAGGAAAAAACAAAACUAAUAAUUUUAUUUCUUGACGUUACCCGAAAAAGAAGCACCGGCUAACUCCGUGCCAGCAGCCGCGGUAAUACGGAGGGUGCUAGCGUUAAUCAGAAUUACUGGGCGUAAAGAGCACGUAGGUGGUUUUUUAAGUCAGAUGUGAAAUCCCUGGGCUUAACCUAGGAACUGCAUUUUGAAACUGAAAUACUAGAGUAUCGUAGAGGGAGGUAGAAUUCUAGGUGUAGCGGUGAAAUGCGUAGAUAUCUGGAGGAAUACCUGUGGCGAAAGCGGCCUCCUAAACGAAUACUGACACUGAGGUGCGAAAGCGUGGGGAGCAAACAGGAUUAGAUACC
This 455-nucleotide ribosomal RNA is filed under the name uncultured bacterium. RNAcentral's name for it is "bacterial SSU rRNA". It matches the Rfam family "Bacterial small subunit ribosomal RNA", at positions 340 to 786 of the family's 1533-position model. The record is from RNAcentral.